GAUUAGAUACCCUGGUAGUCCACGCCGUAAACGAUGUCGACUUGGAGGUUGUUCCCUUGAGGAGUGGCUUCCGGAGCUAACGCGUUAAGUCGACCGCCUGGGGAGUACGGCCGCAAGGUUAAAACUCAAAUGAAUUGACGGGGGCCCGCACAAGCGGUGGAGCAUGUGGUUUAAUUCGAUGCAACGCGAAGAACCUUACCUACUCUUGACAUCCACGGAAUUCGGCAGAGAUGCCUUAGUGCCUUCGGGAAUCGUGAGACAGGUGCUGCAUGGCUGUCGUCAGCUCGUGUUGUGAAAUGUUGGGUUAAGUCCCGCAACGAGCGCGACCCUUAUCCUUUGUUGCCAGCGAUUCGGUCGGGAACUCAAAGGAGACUGCCGGUGAUAAACCGGAGGAAGGUGGGGAUGACGUCAAGUCAUCAUGGCCCUUACGAGUAGGGCUACACACGUGCUACAAUGGCGCAUACAAAGAGAAGCGACCUCGCGAGAGCAAGCGGACCUCAUAAAGUGCGUCGUAGUCCGGAUCGGAGUCUGCAACUCGACUCCGUGAAGUCGGAAUCACUAGUAAUCGUGGAUCAGAAUGCCACGGUGAAUACGUUCCCGGGCCUUGUACACACCGCCCGUCACACCAUGGGAGUGGGUUGCAAAAGAAGUAGGUAGCUUAACCUUCGGGAGGGCGCUUACCACUUUGUGAUUCAUGACUGGGGUGAAGUCGUAACAAGG
RNAcentral lists this ribosomal RNA (720 nucleotides) under uncultured bacterium. Its description in RNAcentral is "bacterial SSU rRNA". It matches the Rfam family "Bacterial small subunit ribosomal RNA", at positions 776 to 1496 of the family's 1533-position model. The record is from RNAcentral.